AUUGCAAGCCCCCACCUAUGUUGGUUAAUUCUGCUCCACAUGGAAGAGACAGCCAUUGGGCCAGCCCUGAACCAAGAGCCACUGCUCCUACUACGGUCAAGCAAGGAGAAGGGUUUACCUCGGCGCUAUGUUAACUCUGCCAUGCUUGUUGAUAAUAAAAUUCAAAGAGAUGUGGACCAUCUGGACAUACCGCAGGAUAUUACAUUGAUCCAGUACAGCUAUGAUAUCAUGCUAAUUGGACAAGGAGUACGAUAUUCAAAUGCAAAGGAAGAGCGCAGAAACAGCCGAGGAAGAAUUGAAUCCCAAGGAAGCUCUAUGAAGCCAAAUGAGGAGUCACAUUUCUCAUUCCCUCAGCUUCUAUGGACUAGUUAA
RNAcentral lists this long non-coding RNA (372 nucleotides) under Callithrix jacchus (white-tufted-ear marmoset). RNAcentral describes it as "lncRNA (ENSCJAG00000078487.1)". Lineage: Eukaryota; Metazoa; Chordata; Mammalia; Primates; Cebidae. The record is from RNAcentral.